This 861-nucleotide ribosomal RNA is filed under the name Triticum aestivum (bread wheat). RNAcentral describes it as "partial small subunit ribosomal RNA". Lineage: Eukaryota; Viridiplantae; Streptophyta; Magnoliopsida; Poales; Poaceae. The record is from RNAcentral.
AUGUGGGUCAGUUCAUCUUGUCCGGUUUGUCAGUUCUGUCAGAAGCUGUCUGAAGCUCCUACAAAUCCUACAUGUUCUGUUUGCCAGACCUCUGAAAACCUCUGGAUCUGUGUGAUAUGUGGUUUUGUUGGAUGCGGAAGGUAUAAAAAAGGGCAUUCAAUCAGGCACUGGAAAGGCACUCAACACUGCUAUUCUCUCGAUUUGGAAACUCAGCAUGUUUGGGAUUAUGUUGGUGACAGUUUUGUCCAUCGGCUCAAUCACUCAAAAAGCGAUGUAAAGCAUGCUAAGUUCAGUUCGAAGUGUGAAUAUCCUGGGGACAACUGUGUAAACUGCAUGCACGAUGACUCAGAUAUGGGUGGAGUUAUGUUUAGCAGCAAAGCGGACACAAUUGUGGAUGAAUACGAUCGUCUUUUAGCAAGCCAACUUGAAACUCAGCGAGAGUAUUACGAAGCUCUUUUGUCAGACGCCAAGAAGGAAAGGGAACACCAUAUUUCUGUUGCUGUGGAUAAAACUAUAAAUGAUAAGCGUCAAGAGCUGCAACUUGAGCUUGAAAAUACAAUGUUGGAGAAAAAGAAAGUUGCUGAAAUGAAUGAAAAACUCACGAAGAGCCAGGAUAUAUGGCACCAGACAGUAAAAGGAAUAGAGGAAAGGGAGAGAGCACAGUUGAAGCUGAAAGAUGAUACGAUUCUUGACCUCGAAGAACAGCUAAAAGACUUCAGAUAUUCCAUCAAGUUACAAAAGUCUAUGGCGAAGAGUUCACAUGCUGAUGAUCUCAAAGGAGGUAUGCUGGUGCCACUGGCCAUGGAGUCAGAUUCCGGAAAGGGUAAAAGGUCGUCAAGAACAAGCAAGAGAAGGAAUUAG